Molecule: ribosomal RNA, 497 nt
Filed under: uncultured bacterium
Lineage: Bacteria
Description: partial 16S ribosomal RNA
Rfam family: Bacterial small subunit ribosomal RNA
Source: RNAcentral
AAUGAACGCUGGCGGCAUGCCUAAUACAUGCAAGUCGAGCGAACGGACGAAAAGCUUGCUUCUCUGAUGUUAGCGGCGGACGUGUGAGUAACACGUUGAUAACCUACCUAUAAGACUGGGAUAACUUCGGGAAACCGGAUCUAAUACCGGAUAAUGUUUUGAACCGCAUGGUUCAAAAGUGAAAGACGGUCUUGCUGUCACUGAUAGAUGGAUACGCGCUGCAUUAGCAAGUUGGUAAGGUAACGGUUUACCAAGACAACGAUGAAUAGCCGCCCUGAGAGGGUGAUCGGCCACACUGGAACUGAGACAAGGUCCAGACUCCUAAGGGAGGCAGCAGUAGGGAAUCUUCCGCAAUGGGCGAAAGCCUAACGGAGCAACGCCGCGUGAGUCAUGAAGGUCUUCAGAUAGUAAAACUCUGUUAUUCGGGAAGAACAUAUGUGUAAGUAACUGUGAACAUCUUGACGUUACCUAAACAGAAAGCCACGGCUAACUACGUG